GACGAACGCUGGCGGCGUGCUUAACACAUGCAAGUCGAACGGAAAGGCCCUGCUUUUGUGGGGUGCUCGAGUGGCGAACGGGUGAGUAACACGUGAGUAACCUGCCCUUGACUUUGGGAUAACUUCAGGAAACUGGGGCUAAUACCGGAUAGGAGCUCCUGCUGCAUGGUGGGGGUUGGAAAGUUUCGGCGGUUGGGGAUGGACUCGCGGCUUAUCAGCUUGUUGGUGGGGUAGUGGCUUACCAAGGCUUUGACGGGUAGCCGGCCUGAGAGGGUGACCGGCCAACUUGGGAAUGGGAUACCGCCCCGACUCCUUCCGGGGGGAAGAGGUGGGGAAUAUGGCACAAGGGGCGAAAGCCUAAUGCGGCACCCCGGGGUGCGGAAUAAGGCCUUUCGGGUGGUAACCCGCUUUGGCCUUUACCAAGGCGUGGGGACCGUUAUGGGUAAAGAAGCACCGGCUAACUACGUG
This 468-nucleotide ribosomal RNA is filed under the name uncultured bacterium. RNAcentral's name for it is "partial 16S ribosomal RNA". It matches the Rfam family "Bacterial small subunit ribosomal RNA", at positions 28 to 507 of the family's 1533-position model. The record is from RNAcentral.